Molecule: ribosomal RNA, 781 nt
Filed under: uncultured bacterium
Lineage: Bacteria
Description: bacterial SSU rRNA
Rfam family: Bacterial small subunit ribosomal RNA
Source: RNAcentral
AGAGUUUGAUCCUGGCUCAGGAUGAACGCUAGCGGCAGGCCUAAUACAUGCAAGUCGAACGGGUGGUAGCAAUACUACUAGUGGCGCACGGGUGCGUAACGCGUAACCAACCUACCUGGAUCUGGGGGAUAGCCCGCCGAAAGGCGGAUUAAUACCGCAUAAGACUAUAGUGUGGCAUCACAUAGUAGUUAAAGAUUUAUUGGAUUCAGAUGGGGUUGCGUAGCAUUAGCUAGAUGGCGGGGUAACGGCCCACCAUGGCGACGAUGCUUAGGGGACCUGAGAGGGUGAUCCCCCACACUGGCACUGAGAUACGGGCCAGACUCCUACGGGAGGCAGCAGUAGGGAAUAUUGGGCAAUGGGCGAGAGCCUGACCCAGCCAUGCCGCGUGCCGGAUGAAGGCCUUCUGGGUUGUAAACGGCUUUUCUCAGGGAAGAAAAAGAGGAUGCGUCCUAAACUGACGGUACCUGAGGAAUAAGCACCGGCUACUCCGUGCCAGCAGCCGCGGUAAUACGGAGGGUGCAAGCGUUGUCCGGAUUUAUUGGGUUUAAAGGGUGCGUAGGUGGCCCGUUAAGUCCGGGGUGAAAGCCCACAGCUCAACUGUGGAACUGCCCUGGAUACUGGCGGGCUUGAGAGUCGUCGAGGGUGGCGGAAUGGACGGUGUAGCGGUGAAAUGCAUAGAUACCGUCCAGAACCCCAAUUGCGUAGGCAGCUGCCUAGGCGACAUCUGACACUGAGGCACGAAAGCGUGGGGAGCGAACAGGAUUAGAUACCCUAGUAGUCC